RNAcentral lists this long non-coding RNA (2064 nucleotides) under Salmo salar (Atlantic salmon). RNAcentral's name for it is "lncRNA (ENSSSAG00000113669.1)". The record is from RNAcentral. Lineage: Eukaryota; Metazoa; Chordata; Actinopteri; Salmoniformes; Salmonidae.
CACGCUUUGACGAGUGUAAGGCAGGUUGACGUUUCUUGCCCAGCUGUGAUUUCCGCUAAAUGGGCCAGCUGCAAAAUUUUACAUGUAGAUAAUCAACCAACACAGAAGCCACCAACUGCUUUAUUAAAGUAGAUGUCUGUCCUAGUGAGUUACACAUUGUGAGCCGACAUGGCAAUUCAUCCACCAGAGGCAGCUGAGUGCCUUAACAGUUUGCCAAGAUCGCCUUGCAAGGAUGGGCGUUGGUGGUGGAUGGCGGGCAACCGACAGCGUCAUUGCAUCAGUACUGCAAUAAAUUCUGCAGUCAAACUUUGUUCAUUAUGCAAUUCAACAUUUUAGUGGAUGUGUGAGCAACAAAAGUUCAACACUCACCUUUUGUCACUAUUUCUGGAAAGUCUACGCAUACAAUUUGACGCAAACGUUGGAUAACUCCAAUGUAUAUACACCACAGAGAAACCACUACAACUGUAUGGCGUCAAAUCCGAUUAAAAAAAGUCGAACGGGCGCCAUCGCGCGAGAAAGCAAGAUGAAACAUCAUUGCGCAGUCAAACACUUUUACCGAGAGAAAAUGUGGUCGAGCGAGCAUAGGACGUUUUCCGAGAGCGCAGGCCAACGUGGUGUGCGCAAAUUAAACUUGAGGACUUGCAAGUGUGACUUUGAGCGAGCGCAACUGCAUUAAAUGAAUUUGACAGCAGAGACUUUUGUUUGCCUGAAGAAAUACUUACUACAUGUCAAGACUCAGAAAUGACUGCACUGUCACAAAUAUGCCGCUUCCACACACGGAUGUAUUUUCAUCCCACUCACACCAAUUUUCCAGUCUGUUCUCCAAAACCCAUUUUGCUCUCGCAACCGCUUACUAUAAUUUUAGAACAGGGGGACAUUUUGACCAUACAGAUGAAAGAGGACGGUGAAAGAUGAACGAUGACUGACAAUAAUAAAGAGGUCUACUGUCACAAGUAUGUGGUGGUGAAGUUGUUCUCUGCCCAGCUGACAGAGACAGGAGAUACAGAGACAGGAGUCCAUUCUAUUACAAGUAGGUCACCUUGGCUCUCCUCUAUGCACAGCACUCCAGGGACUUCCUGCAGAAAGAUCAUGUUUGACCAGGUGGAGUCAGGCUUCUACUUCAUCGCCCUGGACCACUACACGAACGAGCCAGAAGACGUUAAGUUUGGACCACCAUUACAAUGAGCCUGUCCUCCUAUAGCUCCUCCCACCAGCCUCCACGGUUCUUUUAAUUAUGGUGAUGCCCCAACUGUAAGAACCUGGAGAUCUCUACUGGUUUUGAGGGAGGUGACAUGGCCACAAACAGUGCCUGGGACACCUUCCAGCGCUACCGCUGUCUGGAAAACGGCCAGAGGGUGGUCUGCUGCAACAGUGUGUCAGCUCGGCUGCACCUGGGAACUAAAGAUUGUCCAGUCUGCUGAGAGGGUCAUUGGCUGCCACCUGCCCUCCAUUAAGGUUCCUGCACGACUCCAGGGUAAGGAAGCGUGCAGGAAAGAUCAUCGCCAACCCCUUCCACCCUUUCUUCCAAAGACUCCCAUCUGGCAAACGGUUCAAGUCAAUCACGAUCGAAACUUCCCGCCACCUGAACCGUUUCUUCCCCCGUGCUAUGGCCCUCACCAACCGGCCACCUGGUCCACAAUGAUCCUCUCAUCCAUGGACUCUGCGUUAUUCAUCCAGACUAUGCACCGUGCGCUAUCAUCUUACAUUCAUCAUUUAUAAUGUAGCUUAUAGUGUUCAUACUGAAUGUGGAUCUAUGGAAAUUCUGCAUAUAUAUUUUUGGGCUGUUUAUUAUGGCAGCACCAUUUCACAGAGUCAAAUUCCUGUACAUGCACAUUUCUGGCGAAUAAAACUGAUUCUGAUUCUAAAGCUGAUUCUAAAGCUGGUUUAUCAUAUGUCAGUUUAGAUUUUAAGUGAUAAUGCAAGAGAAGCCGGUGUUUGGAGGACAUAUUGGCACUGGUGUUGUUAUGCCCGAGACAAAGUCUAAAUGUUCCUUUGCCAUACUGGCUGGCAAUGUUAUUUUUCCUUGCUUGCUAACUAGCCAACUACAGCUAAAAUACGAUCACG